GUUGUUAGUAAGGCUGCUAUGCUACUAAAAAUAUUUUCAAGCAACUUCUGUGAACAAAUUCCCAACCUUUUUCACAUACAUCACAGGAACUGGCAUUUCACUUUGUCUCUGUGACAAGACCAAUGCAGAGGAAAGAGAAGAAAGGAGGGAAAUUGUGAAGAUGCAAAGCUCCAGAGAAAAAAAUAUGUAGGCUGAGAUAACAUUGUUAGUUUUUUUUAACUGCCUUUGGAAAAAAACCAUAGAGUCACCAGGAGAUGAAAUUCCUGGAGUCAACCUCCUUCAUUUUCUGAAGAUAUUUGUAACCAUAUCUUUCAUUUCAUGGGUAUUUGCUAGCAGGAGAAAUUUCCUAGCUCUUUGUUUUUGAUGAAGAUCCACUCUGCUUUAAUAGACAUUCACAGAAGCAAAGACUGAGCUCAGCUCUUCCAGCUCCUGAAUACACUGCUGUGCUCCAAGUUUCAUUAUCAAGAAUGCAUUUUAUACCAACAGAAGAUUUCCUAAGGAAAAAUGAGAAUGGCCGUUCUUACAGCACUGCUUCCUCUGGUGGUUCAACAUUAAUUCUUCUGCAGUGUCUGCAGAACAACUCCCUGUUAUUGAAAGAAAUGGACAUACGUACAUUUCUAGUGUGGAAUAUUUGAGUUCCUGUUAGCAUUUAAGUGGAAUACACAAACUAGAAUUAAAAAAUACCAUAGUCUGUGAAGGUUAUCUAUAUUGACUAUACUAGCUCAGUUGCCUAUAAACAGAAAUGAGACUAGAAAUAGGUUGAAGAGAGAUGUCAGUGUGUGUAUGGUCUUUAAAAAGUUAAUAGUACAUGAUCUAUCAGUUUUAUUAGUGCAGUUUUGUUGUCUUUUUCCUUAUAGUCAUCUUUUGGUUGGUUACAAAUAGAAUGACCUUUGGUGAGAUUGCACUCUAGAUGCAGAUAUUUAGAUGCAAGGGUCUAAACUAUAUGCAUCUAAAAGGAGAGGAGGUGAUGAAACACUUCUUGUCAAUGAAGCUUUUCUGCUGACAGAAUGUAGAUGUCUGCUACUGCACAAGAUCAGCAGCCUCCUAGACCUCCCUGACAGGCCCAGACAGGCCAGCUGGUGCCACUUGAGAUGCCUUAAGAUACUACACCGGUCUUUCUAUUUUUGUUCCAGAAACAUGCAGAUUUUCUGUAGAUCUGGUAUCAUGUUUGUAAGCCCCAUGAGGAUGACCUAUGGCACCUUAGCUGGCAUUAUAUGUCUCUAUUUAGACAACUAAAUCCCGUCCAAAACGUUUAGUGAAAUUAUUUCAACAAGAACUGAUAUUCAGUUGCAGUAUUUUGUUCCUAUUUAAGUAAUUUUGGUUAAAAAAAAGCCAAACCAUUGACCGUAAAAACGAAACAGUAUACCAACUUCUAUGUGAAAGAAUACAGAUUUUGUACUAAUGCAGUAUUAUGCAUCAUCACUUACAUCAAGCAAUAUUGGUGCUCAGAAAAUUAUUUCAUAAAUCACAUUUGAUCUGUGACAAUACAGUACUGAACAUAUCCCCUACCUAUAUGAGAUAGCAUUUUCUGAUCUAAAAACCUGCAAUGAAUUCAGUAUAAUUUUGAAUUAAAUGUUGAUUAUCUAUAGCCUAGCCUAUACUUAAAUACCUUUAUUAAUAAUGAUUUUAUUUUUCAGGCUUUUUUUUUCUCUUGCAUUGGAUUAAAGACCUUAAACUUUCUGUACGACUGUCAAUCUCAGUGUGACCAUAUACACAAAAAAGGUUACUCUAAGAAAACCUUAAGCUGCAAAAAUCAUUCUACAGCAAUGAAUUAAAAGUUUGAUUCUGCUUCCUAUAAAA
Molecule: long non-coding RNA, 1800 nt
Organism: Melopsittacus undulatus (budgerigar)
Lineage: Eukaryota; Metazoa; Chordata; Aves; Psittaciformes; Psittaculidae
Exons: 2
Source: RefSeq, a predicted model, not a curated record